GUGAACGCUGGCGGUAGGCCUAACACAUGCAAGUCGAACGGCAGCACAGUAAGAGCUUGCUCUUACGGGUGGCGAGUGGCGGACGGGUGAGGAAUACAUCGGAAUCUACUUUUUCGUGGGGGAUAAUGUAGGGAAACUUACGCUAAUACCGCAUACGACCUACGGGUGAAAGCAGGGGAUCUUCGGACCUUGCGCGAUUGAAUGAGCCGAUGUCGGAUUAGCUAGUUGGCGGGGUAAAGGCCCACCAAGGCGACGAUCCGUAGCUGGUCUGAGAGGAUGAUCAGCCACACUGGAACUGAGACACGGUCAAGACUCCUACGGGAGGCGGCAGUGGGGAAUAUUGGACAAUGGGCGCAAGCCUGAUCCAGCCAUACCGCGUGGGUGAAGAAGGCCUUCGGGUUGUAAAGCCCUUUUGUUGGGAAAGAAAAGCAGCAGGUUAAUACCCCGCUGUUCUGACGGUACCCAAAGAAUAAGCACCGGCUAACUUCGUG
RNAcentral lists this ribosomal RNA (491 nucleotides) under uncultured bacterium. Its description in RNAcentral is "partial 16S ribosomal RNA". It matches the Rfam family "Bacterial small subunit ribosomal RNA", at positions 29 to 507 of the family's 1533-position model. The record is from RNAcentral.